UCUCCGUAGGUGAACCAGCGGAGGGAUCAUUACAGAGUUCUCGCCCUCGCGGGUAGUUCUCCCACCCACUGCUAUCGUUACUGUCGUUUCUUUGGCGGGCCGCCGGGUCCCCGCCGGCCGGCGAGUAAUAGGCGGGGCGGGCCCUACAGAGGCGUUCGAACCCUGAAUGUUAGUGUCGUUCGAGUACUAUCUAAUAGUUAAAACUUUCAACAACGGAUCUCUUGGUUCUG
This 230-nucleotide unclassified non-coding RNA is filed under the name plant metagenome. RNAcentral describes it as "partial contains small subunit ribosomal RNA, internal transcribed spacer 1, and 5.8S ribosomal RNA". The record is from RNAcentral.